RNAcentral lists this long non-coding RNA (22317 nucleotides) under Triticum aestivum (bread wheat). Its description in RNAcentral is "long non-coding RNA (TAES_LNC010755)". Lineage: Eukaryota; Viridiplantae; Streptophyta; Magnoliopsida; Poales; Poaceae. The record is from RNAcentral.
ACUAGUAAUCAUCACACUGCCACUGUCGACAGCAAGGUAACUAGAUAUAUUCACAAUUCAACCAAAAUUACCCCCACAAGGUAAGCAAUGGUGAACACACAAAAUUGAUGGCUAAACCACAGGGCAGCACUAUGCUCCACACUAGCAAUUAUCGCACUGCCACUGUCCACAACAAGGAAGCUAGAUAUACUCACAUAUUGAACCAAAAUUACCACCAGAGGAAGACAAAGCAAUGGUGAAUGGUGAACACACACAAAACUGAUGGCCAAACCACAAGGCAGCACUAUGCUCCACACUAGCAAUCAUCGCAUUGCCACUGUCUACAGCAAGGUGACAAGGUAUAUUCACAGUUUCAGACACAUCUAGGUAUGAAAUAACACAUAUCUAGAACAAACCAACCACUCAAUCGCUUGGAAUGAAGUGACUUCUACUUGCAAGUGACAAAGAUCACACACCUCAACAAUAAACACAUGACAAACAGCAAUAGCAAAAUAUCUAUUGGCCAGUAACACCUGCAAUAAAGGGUUAACCUAAAGAACACAGGUAUAAACAAGAUACAUGUUCUAUGAUCUUGCCACCAUCAGAACAACAAAGCAUAGACAUGAAAUAGAUUAACGUCAUCAGAAUGACCAAAAUUUAAGCUCGCAUCCCAUCUCAGCAAUAGACGAUCAAAUAUCCAGGAAACAUAACAUAAUACUCCAAGAUUUCAGUUUUCAAAGACAAACGGGACACAUAUAAAUGAGUUCGAUUUUAGCAGAGCAAACGCAAGCCACCUCUAAGCCUUCUGGUUGUAGACGUAGGUGAGGCCGCACUUGCCGCAGUAGUGGCGGUCGAAGUGGUUGGCCAUGAAGGUCCCGGCGCCGCACUCGGCGUUGGGGCACUCCUUCCUGAGCCUGGUGACCUUGCCGGUGGCGUCGUCGACCUUGUAGAACUGGAGGACGGCGAGCUUCACCUUCUUGUGCUUGUGCUUUUGCUUCUUGGGCUUGGUGUAGGUCUUCUUCUUGCGCUUCUUGGCGCCACCGCGGAGGCGGAGCACCAGGUGGAGCGUGGACUCCUUCUGGAUGUUGUAGUCGGCGAGGGUGCGGCCGUCCUCGAGCUGCUUGCCGGCGAAGAUGAGGCGCUGCUGGUCCGGCGGGAUCCCCUCCUUGUCCUGGAUCUUGGCCUUGACGUUGUCGAUGGUGUCCGACGACUCCACCUCCAGCGUGAUGGUCUUGCCCGUCAGGGUCUUCACGAAGAUCUGCAUCUUGGCGGCGGCGGGGUGGUCGCCUCCGCGCGCUGCGGCGGCGACGGUGGCGGCGGCGGCGGCGCGGUGGGGUUUGGUUGGGCGGCGCGGUGGGAAUGGAGGCUAGGGAGAAGGAAGAGUCAGGCUUUCUAUAAGUACAGUCGGCAGGAGAAUAUGAGCCGUUGGAUCUAGGGGUUCAAGAUCAUACGGCUGUCUUUUGUGGACGGUAUUUUGGGCUGGGCUGGAUCGGAUUGAUUUGCUUGUGGCCCAUGCCACGUGAGGAGGGUUCGUUCCACAGUCAAUAUGAACAUGUAAAUUUUCUUUGUCUCAAUUUUUUUUGUAAAUUCCAUUCUUUGAGAAACAAAAUACCGUCCACAAGCAAAAUCAAUCCAUUCUUUGUCUCAAAAAAAUUGAAAAUUCCUUAAAAGAAUAUAUAUCCCAUUCACUUGCCCAAAAAAGUGUAAAUUCCAUUUACCCCUAGAAAUUAUUUUUUUUAAAUAUAUAAACACAAAAGAAUUUACAGAUUCGACAUUGGUUACUUGCAAGCCUCGAACUUGCAUUUGAGAUGUACACGCUCUUGAAUUCCUAUGAAAACCAAGCAAGGACGCUCCAAAUUAGAGAAGGGACUGCGGAAUGUAUUCGGCUUCGAUUCCAUACCACAACCAUCCAUCCAAAUAACGACAUUCAGGCUGUCCCAAUGCCAAUAUCCAAUUGUAAACCCCAAUAUCAGCACUCAAACGGUGCCCAGAGUGAUAUUUAGUUUUCAUCCAAUUUUAGUGGUGUUUGCACCAUGAAAUUUGAUUCCACCGUGUGGCAACCAUCACUCAUGGUUUGUUACUUAGCAACAACAUUCUGGGCAAAUAUGGGUUUAGAGCCACACCAAGAGGGUAUAGUUGUUCAAGAGUGUAAACUCGUAACAUAACCAUGUCUGUCUUGAGACAAUCAAUUCUAAAUAUGCAGUCCUGAGACAAUCAAUUCUAAAUAUGCAGUCCUGAGACAAUCAAUUCCAAAUAUGCAUGAAGGAUGAUGUACCCAGUGAUGCCAUGCUUUCGCAUAAUGUACCAGGGCAACAUAGUGUACGACUGAGUGGAAAUACCCAACACAAUAAACAAGUAAAGAUUCCAGCACAACUAACAGCAGUCAAAGAGUUAUCUCACAACAAUGGCAGCAGCAAUCAGCAAAUUCCAGCUGCAUGAUCACUGGCAAGGCAUGGCGAAUACAAACCACAACAAUAACUCGAAAACGGUCACCAAAUUCAAAUAGCAUUGAACCAUUCCAGAAACCGACUUAACACUAAGCAAGUUUCUAAACUUGUCCGCUUACUACCACACUUGCAAUUAUAGAUAUUCAGCAUAUGCAAACUAAUGCCACAUCCAGAAAAAUAUUCAGGACAAACAACACAUCAGAUCUAAGGUUGCAAACACAUGCACAGAUAUGGUAUGACCACACAAUUUCCUAAAUCAAAGCAGAAUUACCAAUGACAUGCACCCAGGGCAGGCAACGAUUAAUGAUGGAACACAAAAUAGAUGGAUAAACCACGGGGCAGGACUUUGCUACAUUUCUUCAGAGAUGAAUUUGGGUAAUGCGGAUGCGAAAAAUAAAAAUGCAGAUCAUGGCUACAGAAAUGUACAUAUUUGGAUAACCACAUCAAAUGGGUAUUUGUCCAGGCAUAAAGAAUAAACUGAAACGUCUGUCAAUGAGAAUUCCAAUAGCUGAACUGCCUUGUUGCAACAGCCAUGAAAAAUAAACAACCAAAUUGCUUUUGCACUUUUUGAUUAUUCUCGUAAGAUUGGUGACAAGAUGUGCUUUCGGUCCAAUGCAUCAAAAGCCACCUUCUGUACUAGUUAUAAAAUAAAGAUCUUCAGCGCAUGUAAAAUGACUUAUCACAACCCAAGAACAAACCAAAAUGAGAAGAGCAAAAAUCAACUACAACUACAAACCGACAGACAUAUGGUAUGAUAGACCCAAUCAAAAGUACCAACACUGGCAGGCAAGGGAAUGGUGAAAAGUUACCACACACAAAACUGAUGGCUAAACAACAAGGCAGUAUGAUAGACUCAAUCAAAAUUACCACCACAGGUAGGCAAGGCAAUGGUGAAUGGUUACCACACACAAAACUGUUGGUUAAACAACAAGGCAGCACUAUGCUCCACACUAGCAAUCAUCGCACUGCCACUGUCCACAGUAAGGUAACUAGAUAUAUUCAGAGUUUUCAAGCACAUCUAGGUAUGAAAUAACGCAUGACAAAACAAACAUACCUACAACAAACAAACCACGCAAUCGCUUGGAAUGAACAUAAUUCUAAUUGCAAGUGACAACGAUCACACCCCUCUAACAAUCAACACAUGACAAAACAGCAAUAGCAAAAUAUUCAUCUACAUGUGAACCCAUGCAUAGCUAUAGGCUAGUAACACCUGAAAUAAAGGGUUAAGCUCAAGAACACACGUAUCAACAAGAUACAUGUUUCCAUGAUCGCAUCACCAUCAGAUCAACAAAGCAUAAAAUACGAUAGCUGCAAUGAGAUAGAUUAACGUCAUUCAGAAUGACCAAAAUUUAAGCUCGCAUAGCAUUUCAGCAGCAGGCGAUCAAAUAUCUAGGAUACAUAAUACUCCAAGGUUUCAGUUUUCAAAUACAAACAGGGACACAUAUAAUGAGUUCUAUCCUCGAUAGGUAAAAGAGCAGAGCAAACGCAAGCCACCUCUAAGCCUUCUGGUUGUAGACGUAGGUGAGGCCGCACUUGCCGCAGUAGUGGCGGUCGAAGUGGUUGGCCAUGAAGGUCCCGGCGCCGCACUCGGCGUUGGGGCACUCCUUCCUGAGCCUGGUGACCUUGCCGGUGGCGUCGUCGACCUUGUAGAACUGGAGGACGGCGAGCUUCACCUUCUUGUGCUUGUGCUUUUGCUUCUUGGGCUUGGUGUAGGUCUUCUUCUUGCGCUUCUUGGCGCCACCGCGGAGGCGGAGCACCAGGUGCAGGGUGGACUCCUUCUGGAUGUUGUAGUCGGCGAGGGUGCGGCCGUCCUCGAGCUGCUUGCCGGCGAAGAUGAGGCGCUGCUGGUCCGGCGGGAUGCCCUCCUUGUCCUGGAUCUUGGCCUUGACGUUGUCGAUGGUGUCCGACGACUCCACCUCCAGCGUGAUGGUCUUGCCCGUCAGGGUCUUCACGAAGAUCUGCAUCUUCGCGGCGGUGGGGUGGUCGCCUCCGCGCGCUGCGGCGGCGACGGCAGUGCGGCGGCGGGGUUGGGUUUGGGCUGGGCGUCGGGGUGGAAUGGAGGCUAGGGUAUGGAAGGGUCUGGCGUUAUAUAAGUAUAAGGAGGCGGGAGAAUAUGAGCUGUUGGAUCUAGGGGGUCCAUAUCGGACGGCUGGCUAUCGUGGACGCAAUUUUUGGGCUGGGCUGAUAGGAUCGAUUUUGCUUGUGGCCCAUGGUUCGUCUAAAUUGCCAAAAAAAAGGUGUAAAUUCCAUUUAGUAGUGUACAUCUCUAUUUCUAAUGGACGACUUGGUUGAAUAGUCCCCCACUUUCAACCGGUUUAUUUUCAACCAGUUUAUUUUCAACUGGUUUUUCCCGUCCUACCUCCACCCACUGGUUUUAAUUUCCUGCAACCUUUUCGUUCACCCCUCCUUACGUAUGCUAACCCCGAUUUUCCAUUUGAUAUGAUUUGGUAAGCUAAUCAAUUAUGAUCAAAACCAGCGAAUAGAAACGGAUUCCUUUCCUCCCAAGGUGAACAUUUGAUCUCGCGAUCCUCUCUUCCCUUUAAUCUCGCGCUCCUCUCACCUGAUCUUUAAUUUCGCAAUCCUCUCACCCAUCCAGAUUUCCUAUACAUGAUCGCAAUCCACUCGCCCCUUUAAUCUCGCGAAAAUUUGAAUGCGCCUGCACUUAACACACUCGAUGGCUCAGCCUCACACGCCCCUCCAACUCGCCAAGCGCGGCGAGCGGGGAUCAUGGCCCCGCAGCCGCCGACGUCGCUAUCCGUCAUAUCCCCCUGAACGCUGACCAGCAGAUCUCAACCCCUAUUUGGCUGCCUCUGGUUGCAGGACUACCGCGCAAAUAAGGCCAUGGACGCUGCUGGCGAGUGCGCUCGGUGCAUCAUGAGGAUCACGAGAGCUGCGUCAACGUCGUCAAGGAGCACACGGCACUAAUGUUGCAUGCCAUGCGACGAAGAGACUACACGAGAAGAACAAGGCCCCGAUGGAGAGUGUGCAAUGGCUGCGAGGCCAUGCUGGAUCGCGGCUGGCUUACGCAGCAGGACCGGUACGGCUGAUUUGAAAGAUGGUCGUCUAGCCAAAGAUGAGCGACUGCACGCUCAAUGGCAUCAUGUCGAGGUGAGCUUCUUCUCUCGUUCCAAUAAGUGCACUUGUUGGUCUUUUUUCUUCUUCUUUCAGAUCUAUGAGCAAUAUAAUAAUUUGCUUUUUUAGAAUUCUUAUCCUUUAAAAGAUGGAAUGCUUUGGGAUUUUUGUCAGAUGAUCUGAGGAUCUGUUUUAGUUUUAAUACGCAUACUAUUUGCAUGAUCAAAUCUCAAAAGAUUGAUAGUAUUGUGAAAUAAUUUUCUGAAGAACACAUAUAUACUAACAUCUGGCUUUGCUUCUGCCAACGACACAGUUGUACUCCCAAAUUUGAACCAAAACCACGACGAGUAAUUUGGAACGGAGGGAGUACUUUACAACACCCAAUCCUGGUCUUUAUGCCAUCGGCUUCAAGUGGUACUGUGCUGGAUGCAAAGGAUGGCUCAUUGUCAGUAACUAUGGCACGAAAUUGAAGGUUUAACCAUCAUACGUAUUGUUAUGGCUGUUGCAUUUCAAUUCUUUUGCAGAUAGAUCAGGUUGCUGAAAAGAUUACCUACUGCAGAUUUGAACAGCCAUGCUCAAGCCUUACAAUAGCGAGCUCUUCCCACUUGCCAACGGGGGUGCAAGGCCUGGGUCUGCAUACUGUGCCUCUCGGUCACGGCUGCCAGCUAGGAGGGCAACCUGCAUUACGCUGGCCAGGUCAGCGCGCUCCAUGGCUGAGAUGGCGUCCUCGCCUCCUGCCGCUCAGGAGUCUGCCUAGGGUCCUGCCGCAGACCUCGCCGACAUCGUAAGUAUCGUCUCUCCCUUAAUUAGUUAUUGAAUUGAAUAGAUGAUUGGUUGAGUAUGAUCGAUCACCGUGUAUGAUGUUAAUUGGUUUUGAUCUUUGUUGCAGGGGUUCAAGAACAUGAAGAAACUCAAAGUGGGCUAGGUCGACCUCAUCAUGGCUCGACCACCAAGACCGGGCAUGGCAGCUGGGAGAACGAUGCUGGCCAAGCAGACUGCAAGUCGGCAACAUGAUAUUGAAUUUAUUCCUCUUGAUAUACUAAAGCCUGGUAUGUGUUGUUUCAGAUUUUUUACAAGUGCGUCCUGAUUUUACCCUUCCCAAUCUACAGAAAUCUUCACAGGUGUUUCUGAAUGAAGAAGACAUCGCGGCCAGUAAUGUUAAGGUUGACUUCAUGCGUGGGAAAUGAAAAGCCGCUUGAAAGCCAUGGUGCCAUUAGAGUGUAUGCCAGAAAGCGAGAUCUUUGAAUGAAGAAAUUAAACAUGGUGGUGUGCUCAAAGCCUCAAAGACUCCAAGUAUCCGCAGUUCAGAAUAUACGGCGAGGAGGUGCCGGUGCACGAUACACCCAGGAAGAAGCGCAUCAAAUUCUACAUCAGGUUAGAGUCAACCACAGUAGAUUACCUUGUCCGUAUAUUCUUUUGUAGUUUGGGUAAAUAUGGUGUGUGAAGCAACCAAAUAUCCUGUCCAUAUUUGGUGACCAUUUGACACACAUAGAAAAUUUUCUCUAGGAAUAUAAUUAGGCCAUUAUGGUUAGGAUCUGAUUGGGUUCAUUCCUUGUAAUCUCCUGUAAUUGCCUAUAAAAGAGAUAACACGGAAGCCACCUCAAGCGUGCCAACUUUCCCCAACUUACAUGGUAGGAAUGUAAUUAGGCCAUUAUGGUUAGGAUCUGAUUGGGUUCCUUCCUUGCAUUCUCAUGCGUGUGUAUAUUACUCCCUCCUUUCACUAUUGUAAGACCUUUUACACAUUUAAGACAACACCCAAAGCAGUUCAAUUUCAGCUGUCUAAAACAUCUUAUAGAAGUGAACGGAUGGAGUAUAUUGUAUCUCCAAUCUUAAAUCCCUACUCCGUACGUCGUUUCGUUUCGUACCAACACCCCACCCACCGACCCNNNNNNNNNNNNNNNNNNNNNNNNNNNNNNNNNNNNNNNNNNNNNNNNNNNNNNNNNNNNNNNNNNNNNNNNNNNNNNNNNNNNNNNNNNNNNNNNNNNNNNNNNNNNNNNNNNNNNNNNNNNNNNNNNNNNNNNNNNNNNNNNNNNNNNNNNNNNNNNNNNNNNNNNNNNNNNNNNNNNNNNNNNNNNNNNNNNNNNNNNNNNNNNNNNNNNNNNNNNNNNNNNNNNNNNNNNNNUCCUAGCUGUGGCCCCGGCUCGCCUGCAUGGCGAGUGGCAGCGGAGAGAAGGGGGGCAAGAACGAUGGGACGGAGUUCUUCAGGGAGGACGACAUGGGCGGGUACCUAAACUACAUAUCCCACGAGUAUGACUCCGUCUGGGACACGUCACUCGGGGCAUUCGGGUAAUUCGAUUAUAUCAGUUCGGAUGAUUCGGUUUACGGGUAUUUCGGUAAGUUUAAAAUGAGAACCAGAUUUCUUUCUGCCAAAAAAAUACCCUAACCCAAAUUACCCGAAAAUUUUGGUUCGGGUAACCAAAAACCAAAAUACUCCAUGCACGUGACAAGCCGAUCGAUGGAUGGAGGAGGGCGGGCUACGGUUCCUGGUGGCGCUCGCGUCUCCUCCCGAUGCGGUUGACGGUGAUAGCGUUGGGGCACAUCUCGUCGGCCGGUUGACGGGAAGAACGGUAACGCAUGGCAGUAGAGGACGGCGGAUCAGGUAAGUGGAGGUGGUUCUCGGCUGGAUUUGGCUCAAAAUGGAGGCGGCGACAUUGGGACUCAUCGACGUGUUGCGGGGAAGACUGAUGGCGCAUGGCAGCGGAGGACGGCGGAUCCAGUCGGUGGAGGUGGUUCCAGGCCGGAUCUGGCGCAGAACAGCGAUGGUGCGAGUUUAUAUAUAUUAUGAUCGCUUCUCAAAUAAAUUACGUUUAGAAUAUAAAUAGUUAAAUGCAUAUUGAUUCAAUAUGUAAAAUUUGGUAUAAAAAAACAAAAAUAUAGGUUAUAAGACCAUAAAAAUCACAUUUUAUGUAUGUUUUACACUAUGUUUUUACAUUCGUAAUUUUACGUAAUAUAAAAUAUUUUUUACGGUGAGUACAUACUUUCUUACGUUCUCUUUUUAUGUAUGAAAUAAGACAAAAUUUACGGAACGUAAAAAUAUGGUGUAUUGAUGUCAAAAUAGAGAGGGGGUGAAGAAUAACUAUUCCUCACCCAAGGUGACGAAUAGCGCGACCCUAUAUAUAUAUAUAUAUAUAUAUAUAUAUAUAUAUAUAGAGAGAGAGAGAGAGAACAAGAAAGAAAGAGAGAGAGAGAGAGCACGCCGGGAAGAAUACGAAGGGAGGAAGGAAAAGAGGUGGGCCAGGACCUGGUGGAGUGCUAUGCAAUGUGGAUGCAGGUUGUGCGAUGUGAACGCGGGCUGGAUUUCACAUAGUUCGAUUAUUUUGGUUAUUACGUGUUUUAAAGAGUGUAACCCGAAUCCUAACCCGAAGAACGAAUAGGCAGGAAUUGAAACCCGAACCCUAGCCCGAAGACCGAAUUACCUGACAAUUUGGUGUGAGGGACACCAAGCCAGCUUGGUAUACUUCUUGGCUCUUUCCUCCUUACUCUUCAUUUAGAAACUGAAAUUUAAGAACGCCGUGACGCGAAAAUUUGAUGUUGCUACCUGUAUUCAGGUUGAUCUGCUAUGGCUGUUGUUCCUUGUCGCGGAGUGCUAACUGCUCGAUCUCGAUAGCACACAUUAUUUUGACAUUUGUAUUAACCGACCCUUACGUGGGCAUGUGACAUUGUUAUCCAUUGGCUAUCCUAUAGUCUUUCCACACUCGGUUAAUACCCCAGUCAUUGCCGCCUCAUAACCAGACAACAAAUGCAUUUGUCGUCUUCUAUGAGGUUAUCAGGUGACUGAUAUAUUGUUAUCCUUUUUUUAGGCACAUGUAAGUUAUCUAUAAUCUAAGGAAUGCCCUACUGGAGAUUUUUUUUAAAGUUGGACAAGCCACACUCAAUAAUGUCAUCAAUGGUGGAUGUGGGGAAAGAAAACACGGAGAAGAAAGGAUUGUGGGAGAGGAAGGGGAAGAUAAAAAUGGCGAGGAGAUGCAUUUAUCUAACACAUCACGAGCAUGAAAUAUCAUCAUACGUAAAUAGUCUAUGACUUUUGCAUAUACAUUUUUAGCAUAUUUUCUCGUUGUACAUAUAUUUUGUUAGCCCGUGGCAACGCAUGGGCAUUUAACUAGUUAUUUUAGGAAUCCAAUAACUCCUGAACGUUUGGAUUUUGAGCAUUUUGCCCCGAACGUUUUUACAUGGCAACUUUAGUUGAUAGGGGAUGGCAACUUCGUCCUUUUUCGUUUUUUUGUCAGAAAAUUGCCAUGUUUCUCUAAUCUCACGCAAACUAAACUUGCCAUCUAAACCCGUUCGGGUUGCCAUGCUUAACUCCCGAACGUUCGGGAGUUACCAUUACUGUAUUUUUAUGUUAGGAAUAAAUGUGUAAAUUUGUAUCUUGUCCAAAAAAAAUUGGCAUCACAAUUAAAAAUACGAAUAAGCAAGAUGAUAGAGAUUUUUUUUUUCAAAAAAAAUCUGAUCUAUUAUAAAGAUUCAUCGAAAGUACAAAGCACCUCAAACAUAAUUAAGAAAUUCAUCGAGGUCCAUGGACCACCGAACGACCAUUACCGUCGAUGGGCCGUUGUCGCCGCUCCCAUACCGGAGCCGACCUGACCUUGUUGAUGACAGCGGGGAAGUCUUCGUGCACGUGCCCUUAUGGACCAGCACCCUGGAGCCGCAGUUAUAGUCAUUGAAUCCUUAAAUCUAUCUGAAGAACCUGAUACCAAAUAACGCCGCUGCAUACAAACGGCGAGAAACCCUAACCUUACUGAGGGUCUCUUGGACUAAGGGGUCCUCGGGUUGCCGGCCUAUCUCUCAUGGGCCGGACUGGUAGGCCGCUCUUGAUUCAUUAAAGGAAGGCCGGACUACAGGCGACCUCGUUCUCUGGAAGGAAAUAUCUGAAGACUUGGCGUAUCCUCCAAGUCUGGUUAGCGAAAUUGGCAUGUUUAUCCCUUGAUGGUGACCAACCAUAUGUAACCAUAGGUACCUGUAUAAACCAGAUGGUUUAGCACGUAGAGGAACAUAACCAUUAUCACCAUACCCACCUAGGGUUUAGUUCAUUCGAUCUUGUGGUAGAUCAACUCUGUAAAUGUCAUACAAACACAUCAAUACAACCAAGCAAUACGUAGGGUUUUACCUCUUAGAGAGGGCCUGAACCUGGGUAAACAAUGUCUCUACGUUCAUUGUUACCCAUCGAUCCAAGAUCCACAGCUCGGGACCCCCUACCCGAGAUCUGUUGCUUUUGACACCGACACUCACCGCCCCAAGGAGUUGAUAGGAAUCUACGCCGGAGCUCCGUCUAAUAUGUCCCAACGAACGAACUUGAGGAGGAUCAGAGUCCGGAAGACUGAUUCGAAGAAGAAGUGCCACCAUCCGUCCAAACGCCGCCCCUACGAGGACUAAAACCAUACAUCUACUAGCGGGAGUCAAGACACCAGAAUUCUCCUCCCCGCCUGUCGGUGUCAAAACCGGCAUAUCUCGGGUAGGGGGUCCCGAACUGUGCGCCUAAGAGCAUCUCCAGCCGCGCCCCCAACACGCCCCCAGGCGAUAUUUUCGCGCCGGCGCCGAAAAAACGGCCCAGUCGCGUCCCCAAGAGCCUGUUUUUCACCGGCUUGGGCUGAAAUUAGCGUCGGCGGACCCAGGCCGAACCCAACGCAUUGGAGGGCGCCGGGGCGAGCGGUUUUGGCGCGAAAGAGCCGCGAGCCCGCCGAGUCAGCGGCGCGUGCCUCGUCGUCGUCGGAACACCUCAGUUUCCCGCAUGGAAUCAAUGGCAAGGCUGCCGCCGGUCAGCCUUGCCAUUGAUUCCUCAUCAUGGGCGGUGCGUCACGGGCAGCGCGGCGACGCCUCCCCUCCUGCCAUGCGUACACACGGCGUGAGGCUAUAUAAACCGGUGGCUCCCUCGCCUCUGGCCACACCAGCCCACAGCCGCCCGCUGACCGUCGCUGAGCUUUGCCUUUCUCCCCGUGCGCAGCCGCCCGCCGACGCUUCUUCCCUCCCCUCUCCCUUUCUCCCAAGCCUGAUGGUCACGCGAUUCCCUGGCGACGUAGUGGCGUCCAACGGCUUCGGUCGCCGCUCGCUCCACGAGUGGGAGGCAUGGCUGCUCUUCAAGGCGAACAUCCCGGCGCCACCAGACAUGCGCGCCGGGCCGAUGGGGUGGAGGCUCAGCAACGGAGGCGUCCCCAUUCCCCCGGUGCCCGACGUCGAGGCGUGCCCCGCCUUCUUCAUCGCCGAGGUCGACCGCGUGCGAGCCUCCCUAACAGAGGAGUAGCGCGCCCUCCCCCAGUAUGUCACCGACAACCACACGUCAUGGGCGGCGUACUUCCAGCACCUCCAGGAGCAGAGGCUGGCGUCCACCAACGGGGCACCGGUGGUGGGCGGCGUCAAGAAUAGCGAGGGGCGCUGCGUAUGGUGCGACGCCCCCAGUCGCAUGCUCCAGGACAUGCUGGAGUACCUAGAGGGCAGUAAUGACCCGCCGCUGGCAUACCCUACCGCGGCGGCCGCCCCGGUGUUGGGGAACGCGGUAAUUUCAAAAAAAAUCCUACGAUCAUGCAAGGUCUAUCUAGGUGAUGCAUAGCAACGAGAGGGAGAGUGUGUCCACGUAUCCUCGUAGACCGAAAGCGGAAGCGUUUAGUUAAUGCGGUUGAUGUAGUCGAAUGUCUUUGCGAUCCAACUGAUCCAAGUACCGAACAUACGGCACCUCCGCGUUCAGCACACGUCCAGCUCGAGGACGUCCCUCGUACUCUUGAUCCAGUUGAGGCCGAGGGAGAGUUUCGUCGGCACGACAGUGUGCUGACGGUGAUGAUGAAGCUACCGGCGCAGGGCUUCGCCUAAGCACUACGACAAAAUGACCGGGGCGUGCCGACCGCGAUCACAUCGACUUUGGAACCAUUUCCCACAUGCAUCGUCACCUCGUCCUUAGCCAAUCUUCGCUUAAUCCGUAGCCCCUAUUUCGAGUUGUAAAUAUGAGCAACAGAACCAGUAUCAAAUACCCAUGCGCUACUGCGAGUGUUAGUUAAGUACACAUCCAUAACAUGUAUAUCAAAUAUACCUUUCACUUUGCCAUCUUUCUUAUCCGCCAAAUACCUGGGGUAGUUCCGCUUCCAGUGACCAGUCCCUUUGCAGUAGAAGCACUCAGUUUUAGGCUUAGGUCCAGACUUGGGUUUCUUCUCUUGAGCAUCAACCUUUUUGCCGUUCUUCUUGAAGUUCCUUUCUUCCCUUUGCCCUUUUUCUUGAAACUAGUGGUCUUAUUGACCAUCAACACUUGAUGCUCCUUUUUGAUUUCUACCUCGGCGGCCUUUAGCAUCGCGAAGAGCUCGGGAAUAGUCUUGUCCAUCCCUUGCAUAUUAUAGUUCAUCACGAAGCCUUUAUAGCUUGGUGGCAGUGAUUGAAGAACCGUGUCAAUGACACAAUCAACUAGAAGAUCGACUCCCAACUGAGUCAAGUGAUUAUGAUACCCCAGACAUUUUGAGUAUGUGUUCACUGACAGAACUAUUCUCCUCCAUUUUGCAGUUGUAGAACUUGUUGGAGACUUCAUAUCUCUCAACUCGCGCAUUUGCUUGAAAUAUUAACUUCAACUCUUGGAACAUCUCGUAUGCUCCAUGAUGUUCAAAACGUCUUUGAAGUCCCGAUUCUAAGCCGUAAAGCAUGGCAUACUAAACUAUCGAGUAGUCAUUAGCUUUGCUUUGCCAGACGUUCUUAACGUCAUUAGUAGCAUCUGCAGCAGGCCUGGCACCCAAUGGUGCUUCCAUGACGUAAUUCUUCUGUGCAGCAAUGAGGAUAAUCCUCAAGUUACAGACCCAGUCCGUGUAGUUGCUGCCAUCAUCUUUCAACUUAGCUUUCUCUAGGAACGCAUUGAAAUUCAAAGGAACGGUAGCACGGGCCAUUGAUCUACAACAACAUAGACAUGCAAAAUACUAUCAGGUACUAAGUUCAUGAUAAAUUAAAGUUCAAUUAAUCAUAUUACUUAAGAACUCCCACUUAGAUAGACAUCCCUCUAAUCAUCUAAGUGAUCACGUGAUCCAAAUCAACUAAACCAUGUCCGGUCAUCACGUGAGAUGGAGUAGUUUUCAAUGGUGAACAUCACUAUGUUGAUCAUAUCUACUAUAUGAUUCACGCUCGACCUUUCGGUCUCAGUGUUCCGAGGACAUAUCUGCAUAUGCUAGGCUCGUCAAGUUUAACCCGAGUAUUCUGCGUGUGCAAAACUGGCUUGCACCCGUUGUAUGUGAACGUAGAGCUUAUCACACCCGAUCAUCACGUGGUGUCUCGGCACGACAAACUGUAGCAACGGUGCAUACUCAGGGAGAACACUUGUACCUUGAAAUUUAGUAAGGGAUCAUCUUAUAAUGCUACCGAUGUUCUAAGCAAAAUAAGAUGCAUAAAAGGAUAAACAUCACAUUCAAUCAAAAUAUGUGACAUGAUAUGGCCAUCAUCAUCUUGUGCUCAUGAUCUCCAUCACCGAAGCAUCAUCAUGAUCUCCAACGUCACCGGCGCGACACCUUGAGCUCCAUCAUAGCAUUGUUGUUGUCUCGCCAACUAUUGUUACUAUGACUAUCGCUACCGCUUAGUGAUAAAGUAAAACAAUUACAUGGCGAUUGCAUUGCAUACAAUAAAGCAACAACCAUAUGGCUCCUGCCAGUUGCCGAUAACUUUGCUACAAAACAUGAUCAUCUCAUACAACAAUUUAUAUCACAUCAUGCUUGACCAUAUCACAUCACAACAACCCCUGCAAAAACAAGUCGGACGUCCUCUACUUUGUUGUUGCAAGUUUUACAUGGCUGUUACGGGCUUCUAGCAAGAACUGUUCUUACCUACGCAUCAAAACCACAACGAUUUUUCAUCAAGUGUGUUGUUUUAACCUUCAACAAGGACCGGGUGUAGUCACACUCGAUUCAACUAAAGUUGGAGAAACAGACACUCACCAGCCACCUAUGUGCAAAGCACGUCAGUAGAACUAGUCUCGCGUAAGCGUACGCGUAAUGUCAGUCUGAGCCGCUUCAUCCAACAAUACCGCUGAAUCAAAGUAUGACAUGCUGGUAAGCAGUAUGACUAUUAUUGCCCACAACACUUUGUGUUCUACUCGUGCAUAUAACACCUACGCAUAGACCUGGCUCGGAUGCCACUGUUGGGGAACGCGGUAAUCUAAAAAAAAUCCUACGAUCACGCAAGAUCUAUCUAGGUGAUGCAUAGCAAGAGAGGGGAGAGUGUGUCCACGUACCCUCGUAGACCUAAAGCGGAAGCGUUUAGUUAACGCGGUUGAUGUAGUCGAACGUCUUCACGAUCCAACCGAUCCAAGUAUCGAACGUACGGCACCUCCGCGUUCAGCACACGUUCAACUCGGAGACGUCCCUCGUACUCUUGAUCCAGUUGAGGCCGAGGGAGAGUUUCGUCAGCACGAUGUUGUGGUGACGAUGAUGAUGAAGCUACCAGCGCAGGGCUUCUCCUAAGCACUACAACAAUAUGAUCGAGGUGUGUAACUGUGGAGGGGGGCACCCCGCACACCGCUAAAACAAUUGUCAACUUGUGUCUUUGGGGUACUCCCCUUCCCCGUAUAUAAAGGAGGGGAGGGGGAGGCCGGCGGCCAACAAGGGGCGCGCCAGGGGGAGGACUCCUACUCCUAGUAGGAGUAGGUCUCCCACCUUUCCUAGUCCAAGAAGGAGAAGAGGGGGAAGGAGGAGGUGGAGAGAAGGAAGGAGAGGGGGGCGCCGCCCCCUUUCCCUUGUACAAUUUGCACUGGAGCAAAGGGGGGGGGUGUGCCACCUCCUGGCUGCCCUCUCUCUUCUCCACGAAGGCCCAUGAGGCCCAAUAGCUUCCCCAGGGGGGGUCCAAUAACCCCUGGUACUCCGGUUAUAUCCGAAACUUCUCCGGAACACUUCUGGUGUCCGAAUAUAGUUGUCCAAUAUAUCAAUCUUUAUGUCUCGGCCAUUUCAAGACUCCUCGUCAUGUCCGUGAUCACAUCCGGGACUCCGAACAAUCUUCGGCACAACAUAUCUCAUAAACUCAUAAUACCAAUCGUCAUCGAACGUUAAGCGUGCGGACCCUACGGGUUCGAGGACUAUGUAGACAUGACCGAGACAUGUCUCUGGUCAAUAACCAAUAGCGGAACCUAGAUGCUCAUAUUGGUUCCUACAUAUUCUACGAAGAUCUUUAUCGGUCAAACCGCAUAACAACAUACAUUGUUCCCUUUGUCAUCGUUAUGUUACUUGCCCGAGAUUCGAUCGUCAGUAUCUCAAUAACUAGUUCAAUCUCGUUACUGGCAAGUCUCUUUACUCGUUCUGUAAUACUUCAUCCCGCAACUAACUCAUUAAUCACAAUGCUUGCAAGGCUUAUAGUGAUGAGUAUUACCGAGAGGGCCCAGAGAUACCUCUCCGAAACACGGAGUGAGAAAUCCUAAUCUCGAUCUAUGUCAACCCAACAAACACCUUUGGAGACACUUGUAGAGCACCUUUAUAACCACCCUUUUACGUUGUGACAUUUGGUAGCACACAAAGUGUUCCUCCGGUAUUCGGGAGUUGCAUAAUCUCAUAGUCUGAGGAACUUGUAUAAGUCAUGAAGAAAUCAGUAUUAAUGAAACUAACACGAUCAUUAUGCUAAGCUAACGGAUGGGUCAGGUCCAUCACAUCAUUCUCCUAAUGAUGUGAUCACGUUCAUCAAAUGACAACACAUGUCUAUGGUUAGGAAACAUAACCAUCUUUGAUUAACGAGCUAGUCAAGUAGAGGCAUACUAGGGACUAUAUGUUUUGUCUAUGUAUUCACACAUGUACUAAGUUUCCGGUUAAUACAAUUCUAGCAUGAAUAAUGAACAUUUAUCAUGAAUUAAGGAAAUAAAUAAUAACUUUAUUAUUGCCUCUAGGGCAUAUUUCCUUCAUAAACAUUUAUCAUGAAUUAAGGAAAUAAAUAAUAACUUUAUUAUUGCCUCUAGGGCAUAUUUCCUUUAGCCGGCCCACCGCCGGAGCACCAGGCAAUGGAUGCCCAGGAGAUUCGGCUCCUCCUCGACUUCCUCCUCUCACUCCUCCUCUCGCUCCUCUUCCCAUUCCUCCGGCUCGCCGGCGGUGUUCGGCGUCCACUACAAAAAAAAUACACUUCCAUGAUGAUACGUGUUUGUCAUAGUAGGUCGCGUUUUUUGUCUUGCAUGUACAUCCAUGACAAUUUUAUGACAGAAUCAAGAUAGUCAUACAUGUGCUGUCGUAGAAGUGUUCCAUGACAUUACCAAAAUUAUCAUCACGGCAGUGUCCACUUCCAUGACGAUAAAUAGCGCGUCACAGAAGUGCUUUCGUCAAGGGUGACCGACACAUGGCAUCCACCGUAACGGAACGACGUUAAGCUAUCGGGUCCGGUUUUGGAUCCGAUAACCUGUUAACAACCCGGACCAAUGGGGAUUUUCCACGUGUAAAAUCAUCAUUGGCCGCAGGAAACACGUGUUGCCUCACCGUUGGGACAUAUGUCAUCCACUCAUUGGACAGGAGGCGCCUAUGAUAGGUCGACACAUGGUACGGCCCAACAGUGGUCCAUUUCGGUGAAAAAGGCUGGCCCAGUAAAAAUUAGCAGGCCGGCCCAUAUAAGGCCUACUUGUGUCAGGUCCAUUUAAGCCCACGGCCCAUACGAGAUGUGCCAAUUCGGCCCGUCAAUGGCCCGUUAAAGAUUUGACACCAUUGCAGCCUAUCGUCAGUUCGAGCCCGUUAACAGCCCGCUAUAUAUUUGGGCUCAAUAUCGACCCGAUGAGAUUUCGGCCUGUUAACGGCCCAUUCAAUGGAUAGGCUAAUUUUUAGGAUGUACAUCUUUCGGCCAUUUAGCGACCCAUUUAAAUGUUGGGCUAAUUUCCGGCCCGGUGUGUCUUUCAGCCUGUUGACGGCCUAUAAAUAUGAUGGGCCAUUUGUAGUCGGACCUAAGUUUCGGCCUUUUAGUGGCCCAUUUAAGUGUUGGGCCAAUUUCCGGCCCGGUGUCACUUUCAGCCUGUUGACGGCCCAUAAAUUAGUUGGGCCAUUUGUAGUCGGACCUGAGUUUCGGCCUUUUAGCAACCCAUUUAAGUGUUGGGCCAAUUCCCGGCCCUGUGUGCCUUUCGGCCUAUUAAUAGACCAUAAAUGAGUUGGGCCAUUUGUAGUCGGACCUUAGUUUUGGCCUUCUAACGGCCCAUGCCCUUCAUGGUCUAAUACCAGCCCGGUUUCUCUUUCGGUUUGCUAAAGGCCCACAACACAGUUGGGCCAUUUACAAUACGACCUGACUUUCGGCCUCUUAGCGGCCCAUGCUCUUCAUGGUCCAGUACAAGCCCGCUGUCUCUUUCGGCCUGCUAAAGGCCUACAGUAUAGUUGGGCCAUAUGUAACCCAAACUUAGUAACGGCCUGUUAACGACCCAUGAAAUAAAUUGGGUCCACCUAUUGCCCGCUUCGAUGUUGGCCUGUUAACGACCUGGGAGGUGAGAGGCAGGCCAACCAUUAACUUUCGGCCUAGUAACGACCCAUUAACUUAAUGGCCCAUUAAAGUUCGUACAUGUCUUUAGGCCAAAUUAGAUAAUUUGAGCCCAUUACGACGAGCAAUUAUGCACAGGACCAAAACCGAUCAAGCAAAGGUACGUCAUACAGGGAAUAACGUUGCACAUCCGGCAUAUAUUACAUGAAAUUACAUCCACUGGGCAAUCAAAGAUUGAUGCCAGUGCAAAUAAAUGAGCAGAACCUAACCAUCUACAACAUCACAAUCUGCAACCUCAGCACAGAUGACGCCCAUAAGCAUGUGGGCAAGUUCUUGCUGCUUUGCUACAAUGUCUCUGAAAACAUUGAUCAGUUGUUGUGUCGCACGACUCUGCACCUCUGAUUCAUCCACCAUUUUCAUCAUUGCUUCAGCCAUUAAUUGGUUCACAAACAUACAUUUAUUCCAUUGCAUUCGAGACAGAGGAUACUGAACAGAUUCAGAUGGCGAUUUUGGCAGGCUUGUAUUAUUGAUAGUGGAGAGUGUCUCGAAUACUACAUCAUAACAUAAAUUAGGACGGGAAUCAAACAUAUUAAUCAUGAGUUAUUGCCAUAUUACCUGGCCUAGAUUUACUGGAAAGAAACAAUGGGGUUGCCUUGCUAUUUUUAGAGUUUGUCUUCUUAUCUUCAGCAGCCUGCACAAAAUUAACACACUAGCAUUGCUAUCAUUGGCCAAGUCAGAUAAUAGGAAAGCAAUAUUGACACAACGAACGUUUGGGCAACUAGCCUACACCAAAUCAACACAAUAUGGCACAUCUAUCAUCAGCCAGGUAAGGUAAUACGAAACCAACAUUGACACAAUGAAUGAAUGGGCAACCAGAGAAGCACUACAAUUCAGUAAUGUGCGUGAUAUGAGAUAGUACACUCAUGCAGCUCAGUAUGCAAAACUACCAGGCAGUUUUCCUUACAAAAAUCAACAUUGGCGCCUUUAACAUUUUGCUACAACUAAUUUUAGAUCAGAUAAAGGUUAGAUUCAUGCAGAUUAACAAAAUACAUGCUGAUGUAAAAAUAUAGUGAUAUACAACAGGUACUUACAUCAGCAUUGGAGCACAGAGAAUUCCCGCAAGAUAUUUUCCUCGAAUACGAUCCCAAUGGAGGAAGUCUUCUAUCGUUUAACCUUAUUUUCUAAAAGAGAGAUGGGUAAGAAACAUGUAGAAAAUAUGAUCAGAAUGCUAUAAAAUUUCAUGAUGCGAGGAUACACACACACUUCUUAGAAUGGAGAUGACAUUCUUUUGCUGGACUGGAGCGGACUAGUUUUUUGGCCACUAGAAUCUGCUUAUUAUCAGGGGGAGUUGGGUUUCUCUGUGCUGGAGCAGUAUCUAUGAAAAAUGGAGUUAGUUUAUUAUCUCCUGGCGUUUGAAUCUUUUGCAAAGACCUGGUUUGUAACCCUUCAGAUUCUGACAUAGCCGUCUUCCCCUUGCAUGCCUUAUAUAGAAGAAUGGUGAUUCAGUUAUAAAACAUGCUACAGUAGAGAUGGAAUAGGUACCGAAGAAUAGAAAGGCAUUACAUAUUGACAUGUAUUCCCUCCAUCCAAAAAUAAAUGGAUGGGUCUAGGCGUAUUUCAGUUCUAGAUACAUCCAGUUUUAUCCAUUUCUACGAUAUGUAAUCCGGACGGAGGGAGUAUGAUGUAAGAGCUAGGGAUACGAUAGGACAACACAAUAAAAAAACACUUAAACCCCACUGCAGAACCAAAGUAUUCAAACCCGCUGAUAUGAGAUAGUACACUCAUGCAGCUCAGGUUGCAAAACUACCAGGCAGUUUUCCUUACAAAAAUCAACAUUGUGGACUUUAAUCAUACAUUUUGCUACAACUAAAUUUAGAUCAGAUAAAGGUUGGAUUCACGCCGAUUAACAAAAUACAUGCUGAUGUAAAAAUAGUGAUAUACAACAAGUACUUACCUCUACAUUGGAGCACAGAGAAUUCCUGCAAGAAUCUUUCCUCAUAAACGAUACCAUUGCAGAAAUUCUUCUAUCUGUUAAGAUUAUUUUCUAAAAGAGAGAUGGGUAAGAAACAUGUAGAAAAUAUGAUCAGCAUGCUAUAAAAUUUCAUGAUGCAAGGAUACGCACACGCUUCUUAGAAUGGAGUUGAUAUAUUUUUGCUGGACUGGAGCGGACUAGUUAUUUGGCCACUGGAAUCUGCUUAUUAUCAGUAGGAGUUGGGUUUCUCUGUGCUGGAGUAGUAUCUAUAAAAACUAGAGUUGGUUUAUUAUCUCCUGGCAUUUGGAUCUUUUGCAAAGGCCUUAUUUGUAACCCUUCAGAUUCUAACAUAGUCAUCUUCCCCUUGCAUGCCUUGUAUAGAAGAAUGGUGCUUUAAUUAUAAAACAUGCUACAACAGAGAGAUGGAAUUGGUACUGAAGAAUAGAAAGGCAUGACAUAUUGACAUGUAUUCCCUCCAUCCGGAAAAAAUGGAUGGGUCUAGGCGUAUUUCAGUUCUAGAUACAUCCUUUUUUAUCCAUUUCGGCAACAUGUAAUCCAGACGGAGGGAGUAUGGUGUAAGAGCUAGGGAUACGAUAGGACAACACAAAAACACUAGUUGAAUGUAAAACUGUAUGCUAGCGGAAUACAUACAGAAAUAACUAAGGCAACAUACACGUGUAUGAUUGGGAAACUAAGAUGACAUUGCAACAGAGCACUAGAACAUCACUUCAAUGUAAAAAAACAUGGUAUGGUAGACAGAUUAAGUAUAUACUGAUGAAUAACAAUGCAUAAGAUAUUUAGAAGCAUGAUGUCCAAAUUAAGCAGAUGGCAUUGCGAUAGAGUAGAAUGACAGUACUUGAAUUUGAAAACAUGUUAUCAUGAAUGGAAUAGGUACUGAAAAACAGGAAUGCAUGACAUAUUUACAUGCAUGAUCAGCAUGUUAAGCACAUGGCAUUGCAACAGAGUAGAUACACUCCAAGACAUUAUAUGCAUGUUGUACCCAUAUCACAGGCCAAGUUAGAGCAAGGACUGUGUGGGGUGAAGAGGACUCAUCAUCUUUCUGCAAGUCUUCUGAAGAACUGCCUUUACAUGUUCCAUCAUAUUGGGUAUCAUUGACAUCAAGUUUAUUGGCCUUUACAUUGCUCCGUGAGGUUCUUGUGGAUAUAUCAGUGUGUGCAAUUAUAUCUGACAUGCAUGGAAGACAACUAGUAGUUAGAUUUAUGUAAUGAGUGCCUAUAGGAGACAACAUAAAUAGUAGGACUGGGGUUAACUAGCAGCAACAUGUCUCAUAAACUAAAGGGAGAACACAGAUGAAAGCUACAGAGUAUGUAUCGUUUGUACUCGAGAUUAACUAGAUGGCACAUAAAAGUAUUAAAGAACAACAUAUGUAAUACUAGAAGUGGUAUAAUACUAUAAUCACCAGCCUGUGGGAUGGCAUUGGCUGAUGGAUGAUAACUAUGGAACAUCGUUACCUAAAGAACAAGUAUCUUAGCUGAACUAUGGAACAACGUUAACUCCUGAACAAGACCCAUAAGAGAUCAGCAUGAAUAUACAAUGAAAUGUGAUGAUCUAUUUUCCAUGCUUAGAUGAAUAACAAAGCCAUAAAUGUUGCACACAAGUAAGAUGAGGGUACAACCUAUCUGGCUGCCAUCCAUAGGAGUGAGCAUCAUGUGCUGACUUGUUGAUGGCCCUGCAGUUGUUGUGGCUGUCCAUGUCGGGCACGUGCAUUCGAUGCAGGGAACUGUUGAGUGGGGACUAUAGCUCCCUUCUGGUGUAUGCUUCCCUUGUUGGAGCAGCUGUGGUGAGUCGGAAGACGACGUGUCUGAAGAUGCAGAUAACACAUAAUGUUAAGAACGACAUAUCUCUUUGAUCUGAAGAAAUACACUAAGAGAUCAACAACAAGGUACGAGAGUGGUCACAUGUCUGUUGACUGAAGACUAAACUGGGGUCACAUGAUUUUAUUUUAUUUUGGUACUGUCCGAUCUACGCCAGAUGGCUUGAUGGCCGUCUUGUGCCUCCCGGUUGACACUGUUCGGAAUCUUCCCCGAAGAGCCAGCGACCAACGGCCGAGCAGCCUGCCUCCACCGUCCAUGGCCCCGACCAAAACCCCGCUCCCCGCCCCACUGCAUUGCCGUGGUUGCGCCGCCCCCGGGCCAAUCCACAAAGACUCCCCAUCAUCCAGAUCCGGCGGCGGCAGUACCUUCAACCCACGCAACUCUAAAAGAUAGACAUCUAAGCGCUGCUUCUGCGGUGAACUUGUGGCCCCACACCCUUAUGUUAGACACCAGCCAACCGGCAGCCUAGGAGCUCCGCCGCCUCGAUGGGUGCUGCUUCCCAUUGGGAAUCGAUUGGCCCAGAAUAAAAAUUCAGACAACUGACGCCUAAAUAAAGUGAUUUGAGAUGAGGGUGCGACCUAUCUAGCGGCAUGGUGAAGUAGGCAGGUCCAGCUGCCGAGUCGGUGAGGCCAGUGCGGUUGCG